AGAAGCCCUUAAGCACUCUGAUCGCACCUGAUCUUGUCUGAUCUCGGAAGUUAUACAGGGUCGUCCUGGUUAGUACUUGGAUCAGAGACUGCCUGGGAAUACCGGAUGCUGCUUUUU
RNAcentral lists this ribosomal RNA (117 nucleotides) under Neotoma lepida (desert woodrat). The record is from RNAcentral. Lineage: Eukaryota; Metazoa; Chordata; Mammalia; Rodentia; Cricetidae.